UACCCAGACUCCUACGGGAGGCAGCAGUGAGGAAUAUUGGUCAAUGGGAGAGAUCCUGAACCAGCCAAGCCGCGUGAGGGAAGACGGCCCUAUGGGUUGUAAACCUCUUUUGUCGGAGAACAAAACCCGGGACGAGUCCCGGACUGCGUGUAUCCGAAGAAAAAGCAUCGGCUAACUCCGUGCCAGCAGCCGCGGUAAUACGGAGGAUGCGAGCGUUAUCCGGAUUUAUUGGGUUUAAAGGGGGCGUAGGCGGAAUGCCAAGUCAGGGGUAAAAGCCCGGGGCUCAACCCCGGCGAGCCGUUGAAACUGGCUGUCUUGAGAUGUCGAGAGGUAUGCGGAAUGCGCAGUGUAGCGGUGAAAUGCUUAGAUAUUGCGCAGAACUCCGAUUGCGAAGGCAGCAUACCGGCGGCGAUCUGACGCUGAGGCACGAAAGCGUGGGUAUCGAACAGGAUUAGAUACCCCGGUACC
This 468-nucleotide ribosomal RNA is filed under the name uncultured bacterium. RNAcentral's name for it is "bacterial SSU rRNA". It matches the Rfam family "Bacterial small subunit ribosomal RNA", at positions 328 to 796 of the family's 1533-position model. The record is from RNAcentral.